This 777-nucleotide long non-coding RNA is filed under the name Homo sapiens (human). RNAcentral's name for it is "non-protein coding lnc-SFSWAP-2:2". The record is from RNAcentral. Lineage: Eukaryota; Metazoa; Chordata; Mammalia; Primates; Hominidae.
CCCGGAUGCUGGCUGGGGAUCACCCGGAUGCUGGCUGGGGAUUACCCGGAUGCUGGCUGGGGAUCACCCGGAUGCUGGCUGGGGAUCACCCGGAUGCUGGCUGGGGCUCAUCGCUGCACACGGGCCUCCAUGAACACGCGUCAGAAUCAGGCAGCCUCCGGCCUGCUGCGCACGUCGUUCCUGCACACCGAGGCUGCUGUGGGUCCAGCUUCCCCAGAGACCCCAGCCCUGGGCUCCGCCAGCACCACCCACCCCGCUCCAGCCCAGGGAUGGAGCCGCCGCCUUCUCUCCUGGCCUCUGAGUUGCCUCCCAGCCCCCAUCUGACUUCUCAGCUCUCCCGUCCCCUCCGUAACCCACUCCCUGCCUCAGUCUCCUGUGUGGUAAAUACACGAGUUCUCCAGUGAGGCCCCAACUGCUGCAUCCUUGGAUUAAUUUAAGGAUCCAAGGACAGAGGCCAGAGAAGCCUGCAUGGACCUGGGUAUCAGACGCAGAAGUAAUGGAGCAUUAGUCACCUUAGUCACCACGUUCUCAGUCAGCGAGGUCAGGUGCACGUCCAGACCUGAUGGACGCUCCUUCACAGGGACCUCCGGUGCGCAAACAGGACUCCAUGGAGAGCAGCUCGGGGGCAAGGACAGGCUUCUCUAAAGCAUGGUGAGGCACCACUGUCACUGAGGAUGCACGGUCCUCUCCUUGCCCUGGAAGCAGAGAACGGGAAUGUGCAGCCACAGAAUGUGGAGUGGUAAUUCCAGUCGGCAGAAAGACUCUGCUCCAUGCGGU